CGUUUUAAAAUAUAUAAGAGCUAAUUUACUCUCUUUUUUUAAGUAAAAAAACCGAAAUGUAAUUCAUACCUUAGUAAAAGACCUGAUACUUUUUACAUUACUUUUGCUUUCAUGAUUUUGUAUCAUUCAAAUCUGUUGCUCUUUCUUUCUGUCUUUAUCACUGCCAUUCUUCAACUCCUCCCAUCAAAUCCCCGGCCUCCAUGUACUUUGCUACACAGAGUUGAAAUAGUAUGUACUCCACAAAGAUUAGGAGAGGAUUAAGGCUCUAAAUCAAGCAGGUGAACAUGAGCUAAGGUUUUUUCCUAUUGGGUUGGCCCCCUUAUGUGAAAUAACUCCUUGUUUUAAACCCAAACCUUUAAUGAUUAAUCAUUUGGUGGAGCAUACAGUUAAAAGUUGAAAUGGAAAAGAAAUGACUACUGUAACACUCCUAACCCGUAUCCCUCACCGGAACUGGGUUACGAAGUAUUACCGGAGAUUACAGAUUAAACAGACAGAAAUCUCAAACAUUUUAUAUCAUUAAAACAAGUCAUCAAAGCAUCAUUUUAAUCCAAAUUAUAAACUCUCCAAAAUAGAUUUUAUAACUUCAUUAAGAAUCAAACCACAAAAUAACUAAUAUUUAGACACUCUAGGUACAUGCCGACACAAAGAAAUAAACAUCACCAUAUUUGAGUUCGGGAUCGUUGUUGGGUGCUGAAUCAGCGAUCAGACUUAAGUACUUAACCUGCGCAUGGAAAAUAAAACCGUACGCUGAGUAAAAACUCAGUGGUAUUUCUAUAAUCUGAAUAUUUAAAAAAAUAAAAAAUGUAUAAUAAAAUGUUAAGCACAAUUGAACAUUUAAAAUCACACAAUACUCGAUUUUCAUCACUUGCUAUAUAUAAUACCUUUCCAUAAUUUAUUCACGUAUCAUUUAAAUAAUAGCACUAUCCAUUCCACAAUCAAUUUAUGAGUAUAUAACUCGUGUAUUCCAUGUAUUUACAACAUAUUUCACAUUCUAUUUUCAGUUUACUAUCUCAUAUUCUUAUUCUUAGCCCAAAGUAGAUUUUAUAGAAUACACCGGAUAUACGAGACAAAUACAGAGGUGCAUUGUUAUGCACUAAUGAACAGAGAGCACUGAAGUGCUAUACAAAGAGCACAUAUGUGCUAAACAGAGAGCACUGACGUGCUAGUAAUCAGAGAGCACUAACGUGCUAAUAAUCAAAGAGCACUGAUGUGCUAAUUAUCAGAGGGCGCGCUAAAGUUCCUUAAUGGCAUGCCACUAAUAUCCAAGUAAUUCUAAAGUCCGUCUACUUGGGCAUUAAAAUUGAAUUUUAUACAUAUAAAAAAUAAUCCAAUUAUCAUAUUUGCACAAUUUCACAUUUACACAUAUAUAUAUAUUCAUAAUAUAUAUAUUCCAAUUCAAUUCAACCAAUAUAAUUCCAUCACAUAUCAAGACAAUCCAUUUCAAUUGUAAAACACAAUAAUUCUCACCUCAAUCACUUACUAUAACAUUUAAUCAAAAUACAACAAUUAAUAAUUAGAUUCUGAUUAUAGAAAUACAAAUCAGGAAUUCCGAGCUAUUCGAUGUCGACUAUAUUUUUCCCCUUUUUAGUCGAGAAUUUCGGUACGACGCUAGUAACGGAAUUAAAACAAUUAAAAAUCAUCAAUACAACACCAUUCAAUCUCACAUUAAAUAUUUCAAUUUUUACUCAAUAUUUGCCUAAAUUUCAAUUUAGUCCCUAAACCGAGACUAACUUUUAUUCUCAAAACUAAUUUCAUAUUUUCAUUCCUUUCCUACUUUAAACUAAUUUAACUCUCUAAUUUCACCAUAAAUCUUUAAUUUUGAAAUUCCCUCAAUUUAGUGCCUAUUAAUUCAAAACCUAUAAUUUAUUUUACAAUUUAAUCCAUUUCUCUAUUAUAAUUUGAAAUUUUAUCAAUUUAAUCCCUAAUUCUUCAAUUAAUUCAACAUGAACAACAUCUAAAAAUUUACUAACUUUCAAAAAUUUCAACUUAAAUCAAGUAGUAUUUUGUUCUAGAAUUCCAAAAACAUCAAAAUUAUAAGAAAAGAGACUAAAUUAACUUACCAAUCAAUGAACCCUGAAAUCCCAAAUUUUCUUUCUUUCCUUCCCUUUUUCUUUUUCUUUCCUUUAUUCCCUGUUUUCGUUUUGCUAUUCUGUUUUUAUUCUCUUUUUCUAUCUUUUAUUUAAUUAAUAAUAAUAUAAUAAAUAAAUAUCUUUUACUUAAUUAAUAAGCAUGCACAUAUAUUAAUUACAAAUGUAUACAUAUAUGUAUUUAUAAUUAUCACACACUUGUCACUUUUUAUGGUUUAAUUAUUAGUUUAGUCCUUUCACCUUUUUCUAUUUUAUAAUUAACUUUCACACCUAAUUCAAUUUAGUCUUAAUACUCAAUUAACUUUAAUUUAACUAAAUUCACUCAACUAAAAUUCAAUUGGUGAUAUAACUAAUUCUAUAAAUAUUUUUAAUAAUUAUUUUACGAGUCCGUUUUACCAAGACGGAGACCCGAUAAUUCACUAAUUCAAAAAUAUUUCUAAAAUCAAGCUUAAUUUAUAAUUAUUAAUUAAUAAAUUUUUCUAACUUUUUCAUCGAAUUUAGUGAUCUCAAAUCACUGUUAUGAUACUACUGAAAAUUAAACUGUUACAAUUACUUAUUUCCUUUUGAGCCUGCUCGACAUUUUCAUGCUUUGUUAUCAGCUCCAGAUGAUGGAAGCUCACAUUUAUUGUUAGUCUUUGGAUGUUGGAUCUCCUGUUGCAGUCUUCCUUUCUCAAAUUUCAAACAAAGAGCUUGCAUUAUUAAGAUAAAAAUGAAAACUGAUAAAAAAAAAAAAAGCUGUUUGGCAUGAUCGUGAUGAAUCUAGGUAUAUAAAUUGUAUGUUAAACUGUGACGUGACCUAUCUUCUUUCUUAUCCUUUAUUUGAUGUUGUUUAAGGAUCCAAUCCAGAUUUGAUGUCUAACUAAAAAAUUGAUAUAAGUUCUUUUGUCAUCUCAUCCUGAUUUACUCAACUUUAUUAUUGUUUCUUAAUCACUUAAAUAUGAUAAUUUUUUUUAUAUUAGAGUCUAUUUUUUUUUCAAGUUAGGUCCUAAAUUUGAUAAUUGUUUCUAUAUUAGAGUCUGAAUUUAAUAACUAUUUCCAAAUUAAGGAUUGAACUUUAGGUUUUCAAGGACUAAUUUUAGGGUCAAAUUUAAAGUCUAACUUGAAUAAAAAAAUUCAGACCCCAAUAUAUAAAAUGUUACCAAGUUCGAGUCUCAAAUGUUAUUUAACCCUUUCUUAAUUAUAAGAUAACAUGAUUUUUUGUUUCACCGUGCACUAAUUUGAAGAUCUUAAGCGUGAUUGUAUAGGAAUCUAGACCGGAAAUGGGGACGACAAACCUAAGACGCUGCCAGGUUAAUAGGAGAUUGGAAUUGGCUGCCCUCUGUGUGUCGUGCCGUUGUUGAAAAGUGGGUGUUCGGUGCGCUGCGCUAAAGGUGCAUUUGGUAGGUUGAACUUUACACUGUUAUAUCCCAAAAUAAUAUAACAUUGUUUAGGCUGCCUCCUAAGUAUCUUAAAUUAGGGCAUGAUCUUAAAUUUUAGACUAAUUUAUUUUCUACUUUUUAUUAUUUUAAUCAAUUUAGUACUUUAUUUAUAAAAUAUUAUGAAACCUUCCUUCAAUCAAAUUUCCAAUGUAUAUUUUUUAUGCUGUGAUUUCUAAAUCCAUCCAACUCAAGCAAAAAGCCAAAACAUUCUAAUUAAUUAGUCAAUUUCAACUCUUUAAUUUGCCUCUCAUUCCAAUGAAAAAAAAUUAAUUUACAAAUACCCAGAAUUUUGUUUGUUUGUUCUUCCACCAACAAAUUAAUGACACAGAAAUCACAAGUUGUACUGUAAUAGUAGCAAAAGAAAUAGAAAACCUUCAAGUUCUUUACUCCCAGCCAGGUCACUUCAUGUAAAGAUAGCGCACAUGCUUCCCUCACCAGUCUCCAGUUUAAGUAGUCAAAGAAGCUUUGAUUCUGAUGUAAAAGCCUUGAGUACUGCCACAACUUCAUGACUAUACAAAAGCCCAUUCUUUCUCUC
RNAcentral lists this long non-coding RNA (4040 nucleotides) under Gossypium barbadense (sea-island cotton). RNAcentral's name for it is "long non-coding RNA (GBAR_LNC016114)". The record is from RNAcentral. Lineage: Eukaryota; Viridiplantae; Streptophyta; Magnoliopsida; Malvales; Malvaceae.